GCAAGGUGGGAGGGAAAGAAGUGUUCCAGGGACCCCCAUGUAACACUGCCCUGGCUGAAUGCCCAGCGGCUGGCUGGCUGGCUGGGCUGAGGAUCCAGGUGGCCAUCCUUCCACAGGUGGGAGCAGCCGCAGGUUGAGUGGCCUUGGUGUUCAGGGUUGGGGAGCACUAAUGAGGGGCAGGGGAAGAGAGAGAAGGGGGGCCACUGGACAAAACCAAAGACUCUGAAUGUGGUGGGCAGUGGCCUGAGCCAUGGAGUGGAGACACUUGUCCCUGGGACUCCUCCCAAAGCUGCCCCAGCUGGACAAAGGUGGUGUCCCUCCUCCUGGAGCCCCAGGGAAUUUGCAUUGGGCCUUGAACGGGGUCUCAUGGCUGUGCCCUUUGCUGCACCUGGCCAGAUGCAGAGUGCCUGUGGAAUGCCACUCCAGCGAUGGCUUAGAUGCCAAAGAAAAACCACCUGUGAUUGAUUCCAAGCUGCACAGACAGCCCUGAGAACAGUGUGCAAGUCCUGCAAGCAUUACCUGCAAGCAUCACCGAGGGAGCCUUCUCUACCCUACAUGCCCCCUCCCAGCCUGAGAGAAGACCCCUCGGCUCCAUGUUAGCAGCAGGCCUGGGUGCAGCUCCCACAGGGAGCUUGAGGGCCCAGGGCCUCUCUCCCCAGGGGGUCAGGAAGGUCCUAGUAGGAAGACUUCUAGGCCAUUGAACUGUAAAGAGUUAAUGCACAUAAUACAAAAAAUAAAAUGUGUGUGCUUGACUGUUA
Miniopterus natalensis is the source of this 758-nucleotide non-coding RNA. The record is from RefSeq and is a predicted model, not a curated record. Lineage: Eukaryota; Metazoa; Chordata; Mammalia; Chiroptera; Miniopteridae.